RNAcentral lists this long non-coding RNA (299 nucleotides) under Oryza brachyantha (malo sina). RNAcentral's name for it is "long non-coding RNA (OBRA_LNC001292)". Lineage: Eukaryota; Viridiplantae; Streptophyta; Magnoliopsida; Poales; Poaceae. The record is from RNAcentral.
GGUUCCAACCGGGCCGGACCCCAUCACCUCCGACCCUCCGCCGCCGCCGCCAUCGUUGGUCGUGUGAUAUGCGUGCAACAAUAUAAUCUUAAUUAGAGCCAUAUUAUACAUGCCUACGAGUUUUAAUUAAUUAAUUAAUGGGAUAUGUAAGGUGCAAUGCAAUAUUAUUUUCGUUGGGCACGGUGUUUUUAAUUAGUUAGAGUCAUGUACCGUCCCUACCGACCACAUACCAUUAUUGAGUGUAAGCUGCAAGACUUUACUUUGAUUCCAGUCUUGAAUAAAUGAUACAUUGCCGUGCA